Arachis ipaensis is the source of this 683-nucleotide long non-coding RNA. RefSeq lists it as uncharacterized. The record is from RefSeq and is a predicted model, not a curated record. NCBI's taxonomy places the organism in Eukaryota, Viridiplantae, Streptophyta, Magnoliopsida, Fabales, Fabaceae.
UAAGUGCUCAAUCCAGAAGAGGGUUGUUUUGCUGUUGCGCUCUCUUGGUAAGGUUGUAGCUCUUUUCAUGGGUCAUUUCUCCGAUGGACAUAGCAUUGGGGAUAUCUAUCAUUUGAUGGCAACGCGAUGGCCACAAUUGAUUGUAGCAACUGUGAUUUAAUUGAUUAAAUGUUCAGAAAAUAGAAAUAAUGGAUGGACUUGUGAGAACCAUCCAAAGUCAUGCCAAAAUGGACUAAUGAUGAUUGUGAUAAAUUAAGGAAGAAUAUCAUCAUGCAAAUGCUCCUAUGCCUACAAAAUGAUUGCCGAACUAAUAUUUUGGAGCUAGCAAAGAGUUAUCAAUUCACAAAGAUUGCCAAUAAAAAGGAAAGAAAGAAAAAUGAAAAGAAAGCUUUGGAUACCCCGAAGGAGAGAAAAGCACCAUGACAAAGAAAACUAGGAGCCUCCCAAGUUAGUCCAUAUGCAAAUGUUGGGACGGGAACUUUAGAAGGAAUAAUUGGAUAUUAAAAAAGAAAAGUAUGAGGAAAAUUAAGGACAAAUCGAGGGGGAAAGAAUUGAUUGUAUAAAUUUUUUACUUAAUUUUUACUACUGAAUUUGAAUGUCAUGUUAGCAAUUUUGUUUGAUUAAUAUAUGUCUACUGAGUUUUAUUAUAUUCAGGUUCAGUGCUUGAUUGCUGAGUUUGAUUA